Molecule: unclassified non-coding RNA, 24 nt
Filed under: Mus musculus (house mouse)
Lineage: Eukaryota; Metazoa; Chordata; Mammalia; Rodentia; Muridae
Description: oocyte_clustered_small_RNA6985
Source: RNAcentral
CUCGGAUGCCUGCCUGACAGAUUC